Molecule: long non-coding RNA, 508 nt
Filed under: Daucus carota (carrot)
Lineage: Eukaryota; Viridiplantae; Streptophyta; Magnoliopsida; Apiales; Apiaceae
Description: long non-coding RNA (DCAR_LNC005019)
Source: RNAcentral
AGUUUGAAAGUUUAUGAUUGCUUUUUUGGUGAAAGUGUAUGUGUGCAAUAUGGGUAGUAACAGAAUGACAUAAGUAGUAUAGACAGACAGUCAACUUACUACUUUGGGGAAUGCUUGAAAUGGCUAUGUGCCAAGAAGUAUAAGAUGCUACCAGACAAAGUGCUUAAUUUACUAGAGACAAAUUUUGUCCUUCUUGUGGGUGGGGUUUGCUAACGUGCACACAACAGAAUAGCCAUGGCUAAGAUGGUGUCUUAAAGGUUGGAGUUUGUUGAAGCUUACAGAGAUGAAACGGGACUCCCUUGUCGGGAGCUUGCUGAUGAAGAUGAGUCCAGUGGCACCGUGACCACAGGACGGAGAUACACCACCCCUCCUUCUAGCGCCAAAUGAUAACGCCAGAUCCCGUUCCGGCCCUUUCUCCGCCUUGCUCCGUCGUCUUGCGGUGUAGCUGCUGGAUGGGUGCCUGCAAAACAACGCCGGAGGGGGGUUUGGACCCCGAGGCGCCUCCGGC